ACAUGGGGUGGUGGGGCUGCACGAGCUCAGGCUCUCGACAACACUCUCUCAUAGUUCCCAUGCGAGAGCAAAUGGCCGCAAACUGUGGCUUGGCCACUGUGCCGUAGAUUGCUGGCACUGAUGUAGCUUGCACAGUG
RNAcentral lists this small nucleolar RNA (137 nucleotides) under Chinchilla lanigera (long-tailed chinchilla). Its description in RNAcentral is "Small nucleolar RNA SNORA42/SNORA80 family (ENSCLAG00000018934.1)". Lineage: Eukaryota; Metazoa; Chordata; Mammalia; Rodentia; Chinchillidae. The record is from RNAcentral.